Molecule: non-coding RNA, 72 nt
Organism: Phrynosoma platyrhinos (Desert horned lizard)
Lineage: Eukaryota; Metazoa; Chordata; Lepidosauria; Squamata; Phrynosomatidae
Source: the annotation of a GenBank genome assembly
GGCUGUGUGGUGUAGUGGUUUGGAUGUUGGACUAGACUCAAGAAGAUCAGGGUUUGAAUCUCUGCACAGUCA